This 461-nucleotide ribosomal RNA is filed under the name uncultured Sphingobacteriales bacterium. Its description in RNAcentral is "bacterial SSU rRNA". It matches the Rfam family "Bacterial small subunit ribosomal RNA", at positions 920 to 1382 of the family's 1533-position model. The record is from RNAcentral. Lineage: Bacteria; Pseudomonadati; Bacteroidota; Sphingobacteriia; Sphingobacteriales.
CCCGCACAAGCGGAGGAGCAUGUGGUUUAAUUCGAUGAUACGCGAGGAACCUUACCUGGGCUCGAACGUAAGAUGACUGUAGGUGAAAGCUUACAUCUCUUCGGAGCAUUUUACGGGGUGCUGCAUGGUUGUCGUCAGCUCGUGCCGUGAGGUGUCGGGUUAAGUCCCAUAACGAGCGCAGCCCCUACCUUUAGUUGCCAUCAGGUAAUGCUGGGGACUCUAAAGGAACUGCCUACGCAAGUAGUGAGGAAGGCGGGGAUGACGUCAAAUCAGCACGGCCCUUACGUCCAGGGCUACACACGUGCUACAAUGGCCGAUACAGAGGGCAGCUACCUGGUGACAGGAUGCAAAUCUCCAAAGUCGGUCUCAGUUCGGAUCGGAGUCUGCAACCCGACUCCGUGAAGUUGGAAUCGCUAGUAAUCGUGAAUCAGAAUGUCACGGUGAAUACGUUCCCGGGCCUU